This 274-nucleotide ribosomal RNA is filed under the name uncultured bacterium. Its description in RNAcentral is "partial 16S ribosomal RNA". It matches the Rfam family "Bacterial small subunit ribosomal RNA", at positions 523 to 796 of the family's 1533-position model. The record is from RNAcentral.
AUACGGAGGGUGCAAGCGUUAUUCGGAAUCACUGGGCGUAAAGGACGCGUAGGCGGGUUGGCAAGUCAGAUGUGAAAUCCUACAGCUUAACUGUAGAACUGCAUUUGAAACUGCUAACCUAGAGUAUGAGAGGGGGAGAUGGACUUAGUGGUGUAGGGGUAAAAUCCGUAGAUAUCACUAGGAAUACCGAAAGCGAAGGCGAUCUCCUGGAACAUAACUGACGCUAAGGCGUGAAAGCGUGGGGAGCAAACAGGAUUAGAUACCCUAGUAGUCC